GUCCGGUCCUUCCGGACUAGGUGACUCAAACCAGUGUUUCGGACAGCGGUUCGAUUCCGCUCAGCUCCACCA
This 72-nucleotide non-coding RNA is filed under the name Synechococcus sp. RCC307. The record is from RNAcentral. Lineage: Bacteria; Bacillati; Cyanobacteriota; Cyanophyceae; Synechococcales; Synechococcaceae.